AGAGUUUGAUCCUGGCUCAGGACGAACGCUGGCGGUAUGCUUAACACAUGCAAGUCGAACGAGACAAAAGAGAAGUGCUUGCACGGAUCUUUUAGAAAGUGGCGAACGGGUGAGUAACGCGUGGGUAACCUACCCUAUGGAAAGGAAUAGCCUCGGGAAACUGGGAGUAAUGCCUUAUAAGAUAUAUUUGUCGCAUGGCAGAUGUAUUAAACGCUCCGGUGCCAUAGGAUGGACCCGCGUCCCAUUAGCUAGUUGGUGAGAUAACAGCCCACCAAGGCGACGAUGGGUAACCGGUCUGAGAGGGCGAACGGUCACACUGGAACUGAGACACGGUCCAGACUCCUACGGGAGGCAGCAGUGGGGAAUAUUGCGCAAUGGGGGAAACCCUGACGCAGCAAUACCGCGUGAGUGAAGAAGGUUUUCGGAUCGUAAAGCUCUGUUAUUGGGGAAGAAAAAAAGACGGUACCCAAGAAGAAAGUCCCGGCUAACUACGUGCCAGCAGCCGCGGUAAUACGUAGGGGACAAGCGUUGUCCGGAUUUACUGGGCGUAAAGGGCACGCAGGCGGUUUUUUAAGUCAGAUGUGAAAGGUACCGGCUCAACCGGUGACAUGCAUUUGAAACUGAAAGACUUGAGUAUUGGAGAGGCAAGUGGAAUUCCUAGUGUAGCGGUGAAAUGCGUAGAUAUUAGAGGAACACCGGUGACGAACGCGGCUUGCUGGACAAUACUGACGCUGAGUGCGAAAGCGUGGGGAGCAAACAGGAUUAGAUACCCUGGUAGUCCACGCCGUAACGAUGAGUGCUAGGUGUUUGGGGGAGACUCAGUGCCGCAGCUAACGCAAUAAGCACUUCCGCCUGGGG
RNAcentral lists this ribosomal RNA (858 nucleotides) under uncultured bacterium. RNAcentral describes it as "bacterial SSU rRNA". It matches the Rfam family "Bacterial small subunit ribosomal RNA", at positions 8 to 878 of the family's 1533-position model. The record is from RNAcentral.